AGGGGAGGCAUCCUAUAUUCUAGAAAUAAAGAUCUAUAGAGAUAGAUCAAAAAGGAUGUUUGACUUUUCAUAGAAAAUAUAUAUAGAGAAAGUGUUGAAAAGAUUCAGCAUGAAGAAUUCUAAAAGGGGACUACUAUCCCUUAGACAUAGUAUCACUCUCCAACUUUUCAUAGAAAAUGUAUAUAGAGAAAGUGCUGAAAAGAUUCAGCAUGAAGAACUCUAAAAGGAGACUACUACCCCUUAGACAU
Molecule: long non-coding RNA, 248 nt
Filed under: Elaeis guineensis (African oil palm)
Lineage: Eukaryota; Viridiplantae; Streptophyta; Magnoliopsida; Arecales; Arecaceae
Description: long non-coding RNA (EGUI_LNC011012)
Source: RNAcentral